CUCUUAUGGGUGGCGAGUGGCGGACGGGUGAGGAAUACAUCGGAAUCUACUCUUUCGUGGGGGAUAACGUAGGGAAACUUACGCUAAUACCGCAUACGACCUACGGGUGAAAGCGGAGGACCUUCGGGCUUCGCGCGAUUGAAUGAGCCGAUGUCGGAUUAGCUAGUUGGCGGGGUAAAGGCCCACCAAGGCGACGAUCCGUAGCUGGUCUGAGAGGAUGAUCAGCCACACUGGAACUGAGACACGGUCCAGACUCCUACGGGAGGCAGCAGUGGGGAAUAUUGGACAAUGGGCGCAAGCCUGAUCCAGCCAUGCCGCGUGGGUGAAGAAGGCCUUCGGGUUGUAAAGCCCUUUUGUUGGGAAAGAAAAGCAGUCGGUUAAUACCCGAUUGUUCUGACGGUACCCAAAGAAUAAGCACCGGCUAACUUCGUGCCAGCAGCCGCGGUAAUACGAAGGGUGCAAGCGUUACUCGGAAUUACUGGGCGUAAAGCGUGCGUAGGUGGUGGUUUAAGUCUGUUGUGAAAGCCCUGGGCUCAACCUGGGAAUUGCAGUGGAUACUGGGUCACUAGAGUGUGGUAGAGGGUAGCGGAAUUCCCGGUGUAGCAGUGAAAUGCGUAGAGAUCGGGAGGAACAUCCGUGGCGAAGGCGGCUACCUGGACCAACACUGACACUGAGGCACGAAAGCGUGGGGAGCAAACAGG
Molecule: ribosomal RNA, 701 nt
Filed under: Xanthomonas sp.
Lineage: Bacteria; Pseudomonadati; Pseudomonadota; Gammaproteobacteria; Lysobacterales; Lysobacteraceae
Description: bacterial SSU rRNA
Rfam family: Bacterial small subunit ribosomal RNA
Source: RNAcentral